GAUCCUGGCUCAGGAUGAACGCUGGCGGCGUGCCUAACACAUGCAAGUCGAGCGGAGAUAGGUUGAAGCCUAGCGAUCCUAUCUUAGCGGCGGAUGGGUGAGUAACACGUGGGUAACCUGCCCUGUACUGGGGGAUAACAGCUGGAAACGGCUGUUAAUACCGCAUAUGCGCACGGAGCCGCAUGGCCCUGGGCGGAAAGAUUCAUCGGUACAGGAUGGGCCCGCGCCGGAUUAACUUGUUGGCGGGGUAACGGCCCACCAAGGUGAUGAUCCGUAGCCGACCUGAGAGGGUGACCGGCCACAUUGGGACUGAGACACGGCCCAAACUCCUACGGGAGGCAGCAGUGGGGGAUAUUGCACAAUGGGGGAAACCCUGAUGCAGCGACGCCGCGUGAAGGAAGAAGUAUUUCGGUAUGUAAACUUCUAUCAGCGGGGAAGAAGAUGACGGUACCCGCACAAGAAGCCCCGGCUAACUACGUGCCAGCAGCGGC
RNAcentral lists this ribosomal RNA (491 nucleotides) under uncultured bacterium. RNAcentral's name for it is "bacterial SSU rRNA". It matches the Rfam family "Bacterial small subunit ribosomal RNA", at positions 15 to 518 of the family's 1533-position model. The record is from RNAcentral.